AAUAUUCCACAAUGGAGGGAACUCUGAUGCAGCAACGCCGCGUGAGUGAAGAAGGUUUUCCGAUCGUACAACUCUGUCAUUGGGGAAGAAAAAAUGACGGUACCCACUGAGGAAGCCUCGGCUAACGACGUGCCAGCAGCCGCGGUAAUACGUAGGGGGCGAGCGUUGUCCGGAAUUACUGGGCGUAAAGGGUACGUAGGCGGCUAUAUAAGUCAGGUGUGAAAUACCAGUGCUUAAAACUGGAAUUGCAUUUGAAACUGUGUAGCUUGAGUGCAGGAGAGGAAAGUGGAAUUCCUAGUGUAGCGGUGAAAUGCGUAGGAAUUAGGAGGAACACCAGUGGCGAAGGCGACUUUCUGGACUGUAACUGACGCUGAGGUACGAAAGCGUGGGUAGCGAACA
RNAcentral lists this ribosomal RNA (399 nucleotides) under uncultured bacterium. RNAcentral's name for it is "partial 16S ribosomal RNA". It matches the Rfam family "Bacterial small subunit ribosomal RNA", at positions 360 to 774 of the family's 1533-position model. The record is from RNAcentral.